GAUACCCUGGUAGUCCACGCAGUAAACGAUGAAUGCUAAUUGUCCGUUGCGAGUGAGCGAUGGGUGAUACAGCGAAAGCGUUAAGCAUUCCACCUGGGGAGUACGCCGGCAACGGUGAAACUCAAAGGAAUUGACGGGGGCCCGCACAAGCGGAGGAACAUGUGGUUUAAUUCGAUGAUACGCGAGGAACCUUACCCGGGCUCAAACGCCGUCUGACGUAGGCUGAAAGGCUUAUUUCUUCGGACAGACGGCGAGGUGCUGCAUGGUUGUCGUCAGCUCGUGCCGUGAGGUGUCGGCUUAAGUGCCAUAACGAGCGCAACCCCUGUCGACAGUUGCUAACAGGUUAAGCUGAGGACUCUGUCGAGACUGCCGGCGCAAGCUGUGAGGAAGGCGGGGAUGACGUCAAAUCAGCACGGCCCUUACGUCCGGGGCGACACACGUGUUACAAUGGCAGGUACAGCGGGAAGCCACCCGGCGACGGGGCGCGGAACCCGAAAACCUGUCUCAGUUCGGAUUGGAGUCUGCAACCCGACUCCAUGAAGCUGGAUUCGCUAGUAAUCGCGCAUCAGCCACGGCGCGGUGAAUACGUUCCCGGGCCUUGUACACACCGCCCGUCAAGCCAUGGAAGCCGGGAGUGCCUGAAGUGUGCAACCGCAAGGAGCGCCCUAAGGUAAAACCGGUGACUGGGGCUAAGUCGUAACAAGGU
This 706-nucleotide ribosomal RNA is filed under the name uncultured bacterium. RNAcentral's name for it is "bacterial SSU rRNA". It matches the Rfam family "Bacterial small subunit ribosomal RNA", at positions 781 to 1497 of the family's 1533-position model. The record is from RNAcentral.